This 253-nucleotide ribosomal RNA is filed under the name uncultured bacterium. RNAcentral's name for it is "partial 16S ribosomal RNA". It matches the Rfam family "Bacterial small subunit ribosomal RNA", at positions 524 to 776 of the family's 1533-position model. The record is from RNAcentral.
UACGUAGGGUGCAGGCGUUAAUCGGAAUUACUGGGCGUAAAGCGUGCGCAGGCGGCGCCGCAAGUCGAGUGUGAAGUCCCCGAGCUUAACUUGGGAAUUGCGCUCGAAACUACGGUGCUGGAGUGUGGCAGAGGGAGGUGGAAUUCCACGUGUAGCGGUGAAAUGCGUAGAGAUGUGGAGGAACACCGAUGGCGAAGGCAGCCUCCUGGGCCAACACUGACGCUCAUGCACGAAAGCGUGGGGAGCAAACAGG